ACACAAGCUCUGCUGUCAGCCAUGUGGUAAGAUUCGUGGGGCUGGCUCUGCCCCGACUGGGGAAGCCUGAAGUUUUGGGGGAUCAGAUCAGCUCAGGGGUAGAGUAGCAGGUCAUUCUGGUCUGACACAAGCCACCCCCUCUAAUUUAACAUUAUCAGGAAUAAAGGUGCUAUUUCGAUCUUCAUUUCUCUGGCUCUUGGUCUGUCAAUGGAGUGGUUCUGUAGUCGGAGAGGGUGAAAGUGGAGUUACAAAUUUGCCCCCCUCAAACCUGAGAAGCAACUCUUUGGACCAAUAGCAAAGUGAUUUCUCAGCUGUGAACUAACAGUUUGCUUUUGGAAUGAAUCAUGUGCUUUCAAUUUUCCACUUCAAAAACACACACUUCAGCAGAAGUCACUUUACAGCAAAUGAAAGAAGAAAUUUCCCCAGGGGAGAAAGGUGUUUGUUACUUAGAGGAGGGUAGAAGGGAUGACUUAGGAGCAUCUAUUUUUCCCAACUGUGAAGUCACCAGGAGGUCUUUUUGAUAUUAUUGCCCUUCUAGCCAAUAAGGCAGUGGUUUGCAAAAUGCUAGCAAUUAAGCAGUGCUCUAAUUGGCUGAAUUGUAUCUCUCUGUCCAGAGUUCUGGGAGAGAACAUAGGCAGGGUUAGGCAUGGGAGAAUGUGUCUGACUCACAACGAAGGAAUGAAGCAUGCCGGGCCUCAUCUCGGACCUGCACACUGCCCCUCAUUAUGUUCAUGAUCGGGAAAUGGAUAAAGAGUGGCCAGAAGGUGAAAAAGAAGAGAUGGCCCCCUGAAAGGGACAUCCACAUUUAUUUGAGCACCUACCAGGAUACCUGCUUUGGGAGCCUUCUGCUGCUGCGUGAGAUCCCUGGCUACCCUGGAGAGACAUCAGACAACAAGUGAGAUGCCCAAGAGCCCUAGCUGUCUUUGUCUUUGCAGCCCAAGCUCCAGACAUGUACUGAAGAAGCUUUAAGGAUAAAUUCAGUCCCAACUACUCCCUGGCUACAACUAUGAGACAGACCCUCCCAAGUCAGAACUGCCUAGCCAAGCUCAGGCAACUCCAAGAUUUAAGAGCAAAAUAAAAGAUAGUUAUUGCUUUAA
RNAcentral lists this long non-coding RNA (1097 nucleotides) under Homo sapiens (human). RNAcentral's name for it is "long independently transcribed non-coding RNA 2703, transcript variant 2 (LINC02703)". The record is from RNAcentral. Lineage: Eukaryota; Metazoa; Chordata; Mammalia; Primates; Hominidae.